This 533-nucleotide long non-coding RNA is filed under the name Marmota monax (woodchuck). Lineage: Eukaryota; Metazoa; Chordata; Mammalia; Rodentia; Sciuridae. The record is from RNAcentral.
ACAGAUAAAUGUUGCAUCAUGUGAUGGAAAAUGCCCAUCUGCUACCAUAUAUAACAUCAACGUUGAAAGUCACCUAAGAUUCUGCAAAUGUUGUCGUGAAAAUGGAGUACGAAACUUGACUGUGCCUCUGUAUUGCUCAGGAAAUGGCACUGAAAUUAUGUACACUCUCCAGGAACCUAUAGACUGCACAUGCCAGUGGAAUUAAAAUCUUGGAUUCCAAGAACUCUGUACAUCAUAAUGUCAAAUUCAGUUAAAUUUUAUGACCAUUAUUUAGGCACUUGGCAGACUUACACUGUUUGACAAUAAUGUGUUUUUAAGACUACUGGGAUUUGAUGAUUUUAUAGUUGGUACAAAAUAUAUACAGCUCCAAGGGCAAAUAUCAGAUUUAUUAGAUUUAUUGCUUCAUUUUAGAGAAUCAAAUGAUCAUAAAUUGUUCAGUUGAAAUGCUAUUAUGUUUAUAACUGCAGCACGGCACAAAUCUGGAAUGGUUCCAUUAAAUAGAAGGCUAUUUUGCAGAAUUCCUUCAGUUUCAC